AAGUCGUAACAAGGUUUCCGUAGGUGAACCUGCGGAAGGAUCAUUAGCGAAGUUCGGAAUGCAUGUUCGAUGUUGAUGCUGCCCAGCAAUGGGAUGUGCUCGCUCGGAUGUGUGUCCCUUCUCUAUCCACUCCAUUGUGAACCAAGUGUGUGAGCCGAAGAGAAAUCGGAUGCUCGCAUGCAAACCUUUAACAUACCCCAAUUAAGUAUCAGAAUGUACCUUGCGUUAACUCGCACAAAUAUAACUUUCAACAACGGAUCUCUUGGCUCUC
This 271-nucleotide unclassified non-coding RNA is filed under the name Peniophora albobadia. Its description in RNAcentral is "partial internal transcribed spacer region". The stretch from base 1 to 46 matches the Rfam family "Eukaryotic small subunit ribosomal RNA", at positions 1786 to 1831 of the family's 1831-position model. The record is from RNAcentral. Lineage: Eukaryota; Fungi; Basidiomycota; Agaricomycetes; Russulales; Peniophoraceae.